GAGGGUAUAGCUCAAUGGUAGAGUGCAUGCCUAGCAUGCACGAGGUCCCAGGUUCCACCCCAGUACCUCCA
RNAcentral lists this transfer RNA (71 nucleotides) under Camelus bactrianus (Bactrian camel). It matches the Rfam family "tRNA". Rfam says of the family: Transfer RNA (tRNA) molecules are approximately 80 nucleotides in length. Their secondary structure includes four short double-helical elements and three loops (D, anti-codon, and T loops). The record is from Rfam by way of RNAcentral. Lineage: Eukaryota; Metazoa; Chordata; Mammalia; Artiodactyla; Camelidae. RNAcentral also lists the same sequence under 3 other names.